Molecule: long non-coding RNA, 488 nt
Filed under: Homo sapiens (human)
Lineage: Eukaryota; Metazoa; Chordata; Mammalia; Primates; Hominidae
Description: non-protein coding lnc-RPL13-4:3
Source: RNAcentral
ACAUCCCUUCACCCAUCACACGGAACAUCCCAUCACCCAUCACAUCUCACCCGUCACAUGGAACAUCCCUUCACCCAUCACAUGGAACAUCCCGUCAUCUGCUCACAUGGAACAUCCCAUCACCCAUCACACGGAACAUCCCAUCACCCAUCACACAGAACAUCUCACCCAUCACACGGAACAUCCCGUCACCCGCUGACACGGAACAUCUCACCCGUCACACGGAACAUCCCACACCCAUCACACGGAACAUCUCACCCAUCACACGGAACAUCCCGUCACCUGCUGACACGGAACAUCCCAUCACCCGUCACAUGGAACAUCCCAUCACCCAUCACACGGAACAUCUCACCUGUCACACGGAACAUCCCGUCACCCGCUGACACAGAACAUCUCACCCAUCACACGGAACAUCCCAUCACCCGCUGACACAGAACAUCUCACCCGUCACACGGAACAUCCCGUCACCUGUAACACGGAACAUCCCG